RNAcentral lists this microRNA precursor (103 nucleotides) under Marmota monax (woodchuck). The record is from RNAcentral. Lineage: Eukaryota; Metazoa; Chordata; Mammalia; Rodentia; Sciuridae.
AGAGAGAUAGCUGGGUCAAAUGGUGGUUCCAUUCCCAGAUUUCCAAGGAAUCUCCAUACUGCUUUCCAUAUUGGCUGUACCAAUUUACAGUCCCACCAGCAAU